Molecule: ribosomal RNA, 504 nt
Filed under: uncultured bacterium
Lineage: Bacteria
Description: bacterial SSU rRNA
Rfam family: Bacterial small subunit ribosomal RNA
Source: RNAcentral
AUUGAACGCUGGCGGCAUGCCUUACACAUGCAAGUCGAACGCGAAAAGGGGGCAACUCCUGAGUAGAGUGGCGAACGGGUGAGUAAUACAUCGGAACGUGUCCAGUAGCGGGGGAUAACCUCUCGAAAGAGAGGCUAAUACCGCAUACGACCUACGGGUGAAAGAGGGGGAUCGAAAGACCUCUCACUAUUGGAGCGGCCGAUGUCGGAUUAGCUAGUUGGCGGGGUAAAGGCCCACCAAGGCUACGAUCCGUAGCUGGUCUGAGAGGACGACCAGCCACACUGGAACUGAGACACGGUCCAGACUCCUACGGGAGGCAGCAGUGGGGAAUUUUGGACAAUGGGCGAAAGCCUGAUCCAGCCAUGCCGCGUGAGUGAAGAAGGCCUUCGGGUUGUAAAGCUCUUUCGGCGGGGACGAAAAGGUCCGUGCUAACACCAUGGAUCCAUGACGGUACCCGCAGAAGGAGCACCGGCUAACUACGUGCCAGCAGCCGCAGUAAUAAAC